GCUGCUCGUAAUAAUCACACACCUCUUCGUGGUGAGCAGCAGGCAACGCUGAAAUAGUGGCUAAGUGUGAGA
Molecule: ribozyme, 72 nt
Filed under: unclassified sequences
Description: HDV ribozyme from F. prausnitzii
Rfam family: HDV ribozyme from F. prausnitzii
Source: RNAcentral